Molecule: transfer RNA, 69 nt
Filed under: Sardina pilchardus (European sardine)
Lineage: Eukaryota; Metazoa; Chordata; Actinopteri; Clupeiformes; Clupeidae
Description: tRNA-Ala
Rfam family: tRNA
About the family: Transfer RNA (tRNA) molecules are approximately 80 nucleotides in length. Their secondary structure includes four short double-helical elements and three loops (D, anti-codon, and T loops).
Source: RNAcentral
AAGGCUUUAGCUUAAUCAAAGUAUCUGGGUUGCAUCCAGAAGAUGUGGGAUAAACUCCCGCAAGCCUUA